This 406-nucleotide ribosomal RNA is filed under the name uncultured bacterium. Its description in RNAcentral is "partial 16S ribosomal RNA". It matches the Rfam family "Bacterial small subunit ribosomal RNA", at positions 30 to 526 of the family's 1533-position model. The record is from RNAcentral.
AUUGAACUCUGUCUGCAGGCUUACCACAUGCAAGUCGAGCGAGCGGCGGACGGGUGAGUACUGUCUGUGAAACUGCCUGAUGGAGGGGGAUAACUACUGGACACGGUAGCUAAUACCGCAUACCAUCAGAUGUUCCCAGAUGGGAUUAGCUAGUAGGUGGGGUAAUGGCUCACCUAGGCGACGAUCCCUCGCUGGUCUGAGAGGAUGAACAGUCACACUGGAACUGAGACACGGUCCAGACUCCUACGGGAGGCAGCAGUGGGGAAUAUUGCACAAUGGGCGCAAGCCUGAUGCAGCCAUGCCGCGUGUGUGAAGAAGGCCUUCGGGUUGUAAAGCACUUUCAGCGAGGAGGCGUUACUCGCAGAAGAAGCACCGGCUAACUCCGUGCCAGCAGCCGCGGUAAUAC